AGAGUUUGAUCAUGGCUCAGAGCGAACGCUGGCGGCAGGCUUAACACAUGCAAGUCGAGCGGGCGUAGCAAUACGUCAGCGGCAGACGGGUGAGUAACGCGUGGGAACGUACCUUUUGGUUCGGAACAACACAGGGAAACUUGUGCUAAUACCGGAUAAGCCCUUACGGGGAAAGAUUUAUCGCCGAAAGAUCGGCCCGCGUCUGAUUAGCUAGUUGGUGAGGUAACGGCUCACCAAGGCGACGAUCAGUAGCUGGUCUGAGAGGAUGAUCAGCCACAUUGGGACUGAGACACGGCCCAAACUCCUACGGGAGGCAGCAGUGGGGAAUAUUGGACAAUGGGCGCAAGCCUGAUCCAGCCAUGCCGCGUGAGUGAUGAAGGCCCUAGGGUUGUAAAGCUCUUUUGUGCGGGAAGAUAAUGACGGUACCGCAAGAAUAAGCCCCGGCUAACUUCGUGCCAGCAGCCGCGGUAAUACGAAGGGGGCUAGCGUUGCUCGGAAUCACUGGGCGUAAAGGGUGCGUAGGCGGGUCUUUAAGUCAGGGGUGAAAUCCUGGAGCUCAACUCCAGAACUGCCUUUGAUACUGAGGAUCUUGAGUUCGGGAGAGGUGAGUGGAACUGCGAGUGUAGAGGUGAAAUUCGUAGAUAUUCGCAAGAACACCAGUGGCGAAGGCGGCUCACUGGCCCGAUACUGACGCUGAGGCACGAAAGCGUGGGGAGCAAACAGGAUUAGAUACCCCGGUAGUCC
RNAcentral lists this ribosomal RNA (744 nucleotides) under uncultured bacterium. RNAcentral's name for it is "bacterial SSU rRNA". It matches the Rfam family "Bacterial small subunit ribosomal RNA", at positions 8 to 796 of the family's 1533-position model. The record is from RNAcentral.